GCGUCUGUAGCUCAGUUGGAUAGAGCACUGCCCUCCGAAGGCAGAGGUUUCAGGUUCGAAUCCUGUCAGGCGCG
Molecule: transfer RNA, 74 nt
Filed under: Sodalis sp. CWE
Lineage: Bacteria; Pseudomonadati; Pseudomonadota; Gammaproteobacteria; Enterobacterales; Bruguierivoracaceae
Description: tRNA-Arg
Rfam family: tRNA
About the family: Transfer RNA (tRNA) molecules are approximately 80 nucleotides in length. Their secondary structure includes four short double-helical elements and three loops (D, anti-codon, and T loops).
Source: RNAcentral